UAAAAAUUAUUUUAUUACAAUAAAAUCUCUUCCUGUUAAGAAGAAAAAUUAAGCAAGACCUUAAAUUUUUAG
RNAcentral lists this transfer RNA (72 nucleotides) under Symsagittifera roscoffensis. RNAcentral describes it as "tRNA-Asn". The record is from RNAcentral. Lineage: Eukaryota; Metazoa; Xenacoelomorpha; Acoela; Convolutidae.